UUGCUCGCUGCUCAUAUGCUGUCAGAGAAAACCACCGUUGCUUGAUGUUAUUUUUUUACAAAUUUGCAUUUGGAUCAGCGGGUCAUUACAGAGUAAACUUUCCAAUAGUUUGGGGCUGCAUGACCUGCGCAGGCGCCAUUGUCAUAUCCAUGGACUAUAACGUACAUCUACUGCUGCCAGUUGUCUCUAUCAAGUAAAAGUUGACCUUGGAGACGGGACGUUUAUUAGACUCAUUGGCUCCGUGCUAUCUUGUCAGGCUACAGUGCAUCAACGAAAAGAUGGUGCCCUUAUCAGGACUGGUGCGAGACCCUUGAGGUGUGCGCAACCACAGCCGUUUCAAGAGCGCGUACAUCAGCCUGUUGUGCCGAGCACCGAUGUGUUGUUGCGCUGGUGCGUAGCGCUUGGCCAUCUUCACCCUCUGUCACAGCAGCAUCAACAAGAUCAUCCCUCUGUGCGACAGUAGAGGGUGUUGCCCCAGUGUGUCCUGUACAGCUGGUGCUGCUGUGGCUGCUUGUCGCGCUCCUCCACUGCAUUCCAGACUUAAAGGACCCUGUUCCUCUGCUCUGACGUAAGUGACAACGUGCCCUCUGUCAGGCCAAUCUCCACCAGCACAGGGCAGAAGAUUUCCAGCUUCUGAAAGCCUGGAGGAGGGUUUGGACUGCAGACAUCCUCCUGUUGAAAGAGAAAAAAAGAAAAAGCUAUAUGAAUAAGAAGACACACAGCUACUCACAAAGGCCGGAGUGUGAACAGUGGAGGUUACCCUGCUGAUGAGCGUGAUGUGGCGCAGGACGGCAGUCAGCACAUCGUCAUGUGCCUCCUCGUCGCUCUGGUACACCUCGUCAGCCACAUCUGGAUCGAGCUGCCCAUGCUGAAUCACCUCUUCAGGACAUCGCUGACGAUGGACCUGGCAUUUGUAGUAGGGGACGUUUGUAGAAGGGCACACCAUGUUUGUGGUAAAUGCCACCUGUCGCUACCCGAUCCAAGUCGCGCAUGCUCACACACUAACGGUUUACAGCAUAAGGCUCAACAUCAACAUAUCCAAGUCGCGCAUGCUCAGACACAAACGGUGUACAGCUUGAGGCUCAACAUCAACAUAUGGGGCUUGUCUUAACGCAUAAUGUGGGUAUAUAUUUUUUUUAACACUUUAUUUAUGGUGAUUUUUAACCAAUUAACAGACAAUACAUUUUAAAUGUUAUAUGAUGUAGAAUUAUGUUACAACAAUUGACAACUCACAUGACAUGACAGACAGACCUAAGGGAAAGGGGAAAAAAACACAAAACAAAACAAAAAAAGGCAAAACAGCAUCCCAGUAUAUGAGUAGGACAGAUCAAUACUGACAAGAUAUUAUGUUUAUGUUUGCUUUAUGUUUUGCAUCAUAUCUCUGAUCCAUUGAUUAUGUGUUGGAUGUUUUGAAUCCUUCAAUUCAAAAGGAAUGGCACGCUUAGCCAAUACUGAGGAGAAAGCAAUGACCCGCUGUAGGUAUGCUGGGGGAUCGGAGUCCUCUGAACAUGGUGUGAUACCAAAGAUGGCAGUUGCAGAAGAAGGCUGAAUAUUAUAAUUAUAUAUUUGGGAAUUUAUUUUGAAAUGGGAAUCCCAGAACUCAGUGAGUUUUGAGCAAGACCAUAACAUAUGGUCGCAGGGGCCUGUUUGCAUCGGUCACCAGAUGGGUUUAUAUCUGGAAAUAUUAUAAUGUGGGUAUAUUUUUAACAUAAUGUUGAAUAAUGUUGUAAACGGUUUACAGCAUAAGGCUCAACGUCAA
Long non-coding RNA from Clupea harengus (Atlantic herring), 1759 nucleotides. RefSeq lists it as uncharacterized. Lineage: Eukaryota; Metazoa; Chordata; Actinopteri; Clupeiformes; Clupeidae. The record is from RefSeq and is a predicted model, not a curated record.